GGGCCUGUGGUCUAGGGGUUUAUGACGUCGCCCUUACAAGGCGAAGAUCGCCAGUUCGAUUCUGGCCAGGCCCA
RNAcentral lists this transfer RNA (74 nucleotides) under Methanobacteriota archaeon. Its description in RNAcentral is "Euryarchaeota archaeon tRNA-Val". It matches the Rfam family "tRNA". From Rfam's summary of the family: Transfer RNA (tRNA) molecules are approximately 80 nucleotides in length. Their secondary structure includes four short double-helical elements and three loops (D, anti-codon, and T loops). Lineage: Archaea; Methanobacteriati; Methanobacteriota. The record is from RNAcentral. RNAcentral also lists the same sequence under 1 other name.